RNAcentral lists this ribosomal RNA (253 nucleotides) under uncultured bacterium. Its description in RNAcentral is "partial 16S ribosomal RNA". It matches the Rfam family "Bacterial small subunit ribosomal RNA", at positions 524 to 776 of the family's 1533-position model. The record is from RNAcentral.
UACGAAGGGGGCUAGCGUUGCUCGGAAUCACUGGGCGUAAAGCGCACGUAGGCGGAUUUUUAAGUCAGGGGUGAAAUCCUGGAGCUCAACUCCAGAACUGCCUUUGAUACUGGGAAUCUCGAGUCCGGGAGAGGUGAGUGGAACUGCGAGUGUAGAGGUGAAAUUCGUAGAUAUUCGCAAGAACACCAGUGGCGAAGGCGGCUCACUGGCCCGGUACUGACGCUGAGACGCGAAAGCGUGGGGAGCGAACAGG